GUGCCAGCAGCCGCGGUAAUACGUAGGUGGCAAGCGUUGUCCGGAUUUAUUGGGUUUAAAGGGUGCGUAGGCGGUUGAUUAAGUCAGUUGUGAAAUACGGCAGCUUAACUGUCGAGGUGCAAUUGAUACUGGUUGACUUGAGUACAGACGAGGUAGGCGGAAUUGACGGUGUAGCGGUGAAAUGCAUAGAUAUCGUCAAGAACACCGAUAGCGAAGGCAGCUUACUAGACUGUAACUGACGCUGAGGCACGAAAGUGUGGGGAUCAAACAGGAUUAGAAACCCGGGUAGUCC
RNAcentral lists this ribosomal RNA (292 nucleotides) under uncultured bacterium. RNAcentral describes it as "partial 16S ribosomal RNA". It matches the Rfam family "Bacterial small subunit ribosomal RNA", at positions 505 to 796 of the family's 1533-position model. The record is from RNAcentral.